AAUGACUCUCGGCAACGGAUAUCUCGGCUCUUACAUCGAUGAAGAACGUAGCAAAAUGCGAUACUUGGUGUGAAUUGCAGAAUCCCGUGAACCAUCGAGUCUUUGAACGCAAGUUGCGCCCGAAUCCAUUUGGUUGAGGGCACGUCUGCCUGGGUGUCACGUA
RNAcentral lists this ribosomal RNA (163 nucleotides) under Saxifraga oppositifolia. Its description in RNAcentral is "5.8S ribosomal RNA". It matches the Rfam family "5.8S ribosomal RNA". From Rfam's summary of the family: 5.8S ribosomal RNA (5.8S rRNA) is a component of the large subunit of the eukaryotic ribosome. Lineage: Eukaryota; Viridiplantae; Streptophyta; Magnoliopsida; Saxifragales; Saxifragaceae. The record is from RNAcentral.